GGAAAGAGGAAGAACCGAGUAACGAUAGAAGCUUCUGGAAUCAACUCCUUCAACUAACUCUGACCACUAACGCUCCAACCGUCAAUCCAACUCAACACGUCUACGAUCAUGAUUUUGUUCCGAUCAAGCUUCUGGGCCAGCUCCCUUGUGGGCCGUGAACCUCUUAUUAGCUUCCAACUUGACCCAUGGAAAUUGUAUUGUUGCUUCAUCACCUUCUCUUCUACGCUUGACGAACCCUAGUCGCUUGGUUGAGAGAAUUGGGAGAAAACCCCUCUUCUGAUCGAGCCCUCUUUUGCACAAAUGAAGCUUUGAGAAGGAUCCCCUC
RNAcentral lists this long non-coding RNA (325 nucleotides) under Vigna radiata. RNAcentral describes it as "long non-coding RNA (VRAD_LNC018038)". Lineage: Eukaryota; Viridiplantae; Streptophyta; Magnoliopsida; Fabales; Fabaceae. The record is from RNAcentral.